RNAcentral lists this long non-coding RNA (238 nucleotides) under Elaeis guineensis (African oil palm). Its description in RNAcentral is "long non-coding RNA (EGUI_LNC025781)". The record is from RNAcentral. Lineage: Eukaryota; Viridiplantae; Streptophyta; Magnoliopsida; Arecales; Arecaceae.
AUCUCUAUGUGACCAUUGCACAAUCCAGUGGUUGAUUCAUGUGAAAUGAUACAAUCUUUACAUGCAAAUAGAUAAGGCUAAAUAUUUUUCUAUCGAGGACAAUUUUGGUUUGCGGGAAUUGGAGGAGAAAAAUGUAAUUCCCACAAAGUGAAAAAAAAAAUUCUUAUUUGGUUGGAGCUUUUAAAAAAAAAUAUAUAUAUAUCCAUAUUUAAUGGGAAAGAAAAAUUCAUAAGGGAGA